GCUAGAACACAUAUAUAUCUUGCAACCCCACUAAAAUCAAAGACAGGCAGCUACAUCUCAUGAUCUCUUUGCCGCAUCAGAUGUGUGCAUUGGGGAUGAGAAAUGGACAAUUAAAAGGUUUCUCCAGCUUCCAUGACCACAUCUGCUUUUUGAAGUUUCCAUGGAGUAAGGAAUCUGGCAUUGCAGUGUUUCAGCUUGAAACAAUGCAUAGUGAGAGUUAUUGGCACUUGUGUGCCGGGGGCUAGUUACAC
This is a non-coding RNA of Pelobates cultripes (western spadefoot toad), 251 nucleotides long. The record is from the annotation of a GenBank genome assembly. Lineage: Eukaryota; Metazoa; Chordata; Amphibia; Anura; Pelobatidae.